UUAAUUACUAACUUGAAUGACCCCUUGUCACUCAAACCAGCUUUAUUAAGGAAGGUGAAAGCUUUUGAGAUUUCUGUUUAGGUUUAAAAUAACAUGCAUAGCAUCCCUGGAUGUUGUUGAGCACUUGUGACUGGGAACAGGGGAUGUCCGAUCUGUAUUGGAUUUAAUCCAUCAUUUGACCUAUAAGGCUCUACGUCUGUGGCAUGACAAAACUGCUAGACACCAGUCUGUUCCUGUCUGCAAACAUGAACAUAUUCAAUUAGUGCAAAGCAAAUCGUUUCUUCUCAGAGAUUCCUUUAUUUUUUCAUGUUGAUCUGUGAAAAUAGUUAAGUGGUUGCAUUCAUCUUCAUCACUGAUGAAGUUCCUUUAACACUGAGGUAACCUGUUUGGCGAUAGCAGUCUUAGUCACCCUGCUGUGAGAAAGAGAUGAAUAAUGUUUUUGAAUCUUACAUCUACUGACUCUCCUUUCAAAAUGGAUCUGCCACUACAGCAAGCAGCGACUGCAGGUUCACAUACUGAGUGUUUGGUUUUUCCUGUGCACUGUCCUGGAAACUUCAGGAGGUGGACUUGGAUGGAGAGAGCAGUUGUGUGGAAGUGGGGUUUGAUGUGUCUUAUCUCUCCUUCUGCUUCAUCAAUGACACAAGGUGAACAAUUGCUUCUCAUGAGAUUCCCACUAAAACAACAGGUCGAAGCUUCUACUUGUUAAAUGCAUUGGAACUAGAAGGAGGCCCAUGGCCCUUCUCUGGAGGCAGACCCUGACCUCUCCUCUACCAGGCUCUCGCAGGAUUUCAUACCCUGAGCUCCUGACAGACCACACUCGGUUGUAGCUGCUUGCUUGUCUUUUUUGCUACCAGUCAGGGCCUCUGAGGAAACAGAAUUACGUCUUUUCUGCUUUUCAUUGUACACCCAGCUCCAAACUGGUAUAUAGUAGGUGCUCAAAAUAUGUAUUAAUUGAAUUAAUAAGCCCAACCUUUCAUAUGUCAUUUCUGUCAUGUGGGAACUGAUCUGACUUUCACUCACUUCAGAGGACUCUUUCAUGUGAUUGUUAUUUCUCUUCAAUCUAUAAUCUACAGAUGAAGAACCAUUGUUGAUAGAAUCCUUCGAGAGAUCCUAUGAGCAAGAGACAUCAAGAUCAUGAUGGGGAAACCUACAGAGACAGCCAAACCAAACGAGUGGGAACUCACGAAAUUUAGAUCAAUACCUGUGGAGCCUCCACGGGACUGGACUAGGCCUUCUGCAUAAGCAAGACAGUUGUGUAGCUUGAUCUGCUUAAGGGCCUCCCCUCGCAGUAGGAUCAGGAUCCAUACCUGGUGCACUAGUUGGCUUUUUGGAGCCUACCAUCUAUGGUGGGACACCUCGUGCAGCCUUGAGGCAGAGGGAGGGGUUGGACUUGCCUCUACUGAAUGUACCAAGCUCUGCUGACUCCCCAUGGGAGGCCUUAC
Peromyscus californicus insignis is the source of this 1442-nucleotide long non-coding RNA. RefSeq lists it as uncharacterized. The transcript is spliced from 3 exons. Lineage: Eukaryota; Metazoa; Chordata; Mammalia; Rodentia; Cricetidae. The record is from RefSeq and is a predicted model, not a curated record.